CUGCACGGCCGUGCGCAGGCGCGAUAAACCUCUCUCGACGAAUGUCGGCCAGUAUUCCAGAUGGAGGAACAAAUUCCGCGAUUGACCGAUCGUACGCUGGCGUCAGUCGAUCGUUACAAGUCUCGUGAGAUCGGCGAGAGAUGUCACUACUAGGACGUUAGACACUUCAUUAAAGUUCCGCAGAGGAUAGAGUGUGAUUUUGUGUAUCAGUUGAUAAAUAAAGAAGAAAAUCCGA
Long non-coding RNA from Wasmannia auropunctata (little fire ant), 235 nucleotides. RefSeq lists it as uncharacterized. The record is from RefSeq and is a predicted model, not a curated record. NCBI's taxonomy places the organism in Eukaryota, Metazoa, Arthropoda, Insecta, Hymenoptera, Formicidae. The transcript is spliced from 3 exons.